GUCUACGACCAUGCCACCCUGAACAAGCUCGAUGUCUGAUCUCGGAAGCUAAGCAGGGUCGGGCCUGGUUAGUACUUGGAUGGAAGACUACCUAAGAAGACAAGGUGCUGUGGGCA
RNAcentral lists this ribosomal RNA (116 nucleotides) under Pteropus alecto (black flying fox). The record is from RNAcentral. Lineage: Eukaryota; Metazoa; Chordata; Mammalia; Chiroptera; Pteropodidae.